GUGAUAAUUACUCAACCCUAAUUUCACUUUGGCUGGCAUUUACCUUGUCUCAACAGCUUUCCUCAAAGAGCAAAGGCUGAGAUGAAUGAUAUGCAAAAGAAAACCAUCAUCCCUACAUUCCCCAAACUGGAACUGGUAGAGCAUCACGGGUGACAGGUAACUAGUGACUGAUGAUUCACUCCUGGUGGAUGCCUUGGGCCAGUUCCAGAAGGCACUGCGUUUCCAGGAGGGGCGGGAAGAAGAUUUGCAUGUGUGACCUCAUGCAGAAGCUCCUGCUUCAGAGCAUUUAAGGAGAAGGAGAGUCCCUGAAGGAGAGUCGGCCGUGGCCAGUCUUACCAGUGUUAGACUCCUCGCUCUCCAAGCAGCUCAAGACCAUGGCAGGCCUCCGUUCCAUGUUUCUACCACUUGGGCUAUUCCUGUGCCUCGGACUACACUUUUCUUCUGCCAACUUUACAAGUUACAGCACUAACUGCACGGUCUUUGAUAAGGUCUUCACCACCCAAAACCCAGGAAUUCAGAUCAAGACAGAAGUUUUUCAGGGCAACACGAUCUACACAAUUUGGGUUCCUACGAAUGGCAAUGUCAGUAUGGUGGUCCUAGAAGUCGUAGACAAGCACGACAAUGUCGUGGGCCUCUGUCAAGGAGAUGAGGACUGUAACGGCAGCGCCCUGUAUCACCUGACUUCCUCUAACGACACGUUCCUCAAGACAAAUUGUGUUCUGAACUCCAAGGACACUGCGCACAGGCUGAAAGUCUUCCUUGUCUACUUCAACAACUCGGCUGUGUUUUUUUCUCAGAAUCUGGGAAGGCAAGUGAUAACUACAACCUCAGCCACCAGGACGUCCACCAACGCUCUGAACACAACUAUGACCAUCAACACAACCAUGAGCACAGCCCAAACCAAGACCAUGGCCCAAACCGAGACCACGGCCCAAACCGAGACCACGGCCCAAACUGAGAACACGGCCCAAACCAAGAACUCGACCCAAAACUUGGCUGUGAGAGCGUUCAGCAGCCCCAUCGCGAGUGCCAUUCACAUCCUGCUCGUUUUUCUUACCAGCAAGCUCCUCUUCUAAAGGAAAGCAGGAGAGCAGUUGCUCAGCUUCCGGUGCAGCCUCCCAUACUGAGGCUCUAGGCCUGGGCUUCAGUGUAGGUGGACCAAGGCCUCACAUUCUCAAGCUGCGCAACUUCACUGUCACUACUGCAGGCCAAGGACUGGGGCACUUGCUGGUGGGCACGGGUCACACCAAUGUUUAACUGGAUCUUUCAGGACACAAAUUAUGCUUUCUGUAAAUACACAGACCUAGCCUGAUGGUAGCCUGGAAUUCUGCCUCUGAGUUUAACAUGGUGACAGUCAACCCGAACUUUUUUUAAUAGCCAAAGGGUUCCUCCGUGCCUCCUCAUUUUCUGGAGGAAGACUCUUUCCCUACGUUCAAGAUGAUCUGAUCUCAGCUUUCUGACCAAAAGCCACCCAGGUGACACAGAAUUCCUGGGACUGUGACUCAGGGGGAGGGAGAAAUGGCUCUGAAGCUACGGCGGCCUCCCAUCUUAUCCCUAAGAGUAGAUGCCAAAGGGCAAGAGGAUAGGAUGGUGCCAUGUCUGAGCGGGCAAUGACAGGAAAAAUUAUGUGCUUUGUCCUAAGUCACACCAAAUAAAUGAUACUUGAGACUUGAAGAAUGACUGCGUUAAAUUCAAAGUUGUCUUUAAUGAGUGACUAACUUACAAUUUAGAGAAUGUUAUCAAAUCACAUAUUUUUAAUUUUGGUUUUGUUUUUUCUUUUUUUGUUUAUUUGUUUGUUUGUUUGUUUCUGGUACCGGGAAUUGAACUCACGCCCUCGCACUUGCCAGGCAGGCUCUGUGUCGCUGAGCUAAAUCCCCAGCCCCUUGGUUUUGUUUUUUCGAGACAGGGUUUUGCUAUGUAGUUCAGGCUGGGCUUGAACUCACUACACAGCUCAGGCUGACCUCAGGCUUGUAAUGAUCCUCCUGCCUCAAACUCCCAGGCGCUGGGAUUAUAGGCAUGCACCACCACACCUGGCUCAAAUCAUAUUUCAUGUAUUAAAUGAAAUGUUUAAAAAAUUAACGAAAUUAUGCAUGUGUGUAUGUUUUCAAGGCCAGAUCGAAGGGUAAAUUUAUCUUGAUUUUCAUUUUCCUCAAGUGCAAGCUGGCCACUUUCUUCCCCAUGGUAAUUUUCACUAAGAAAUGGACAAAAUACUUAUAUUUAUAAUACAGUGUAAAACUAAAAAAAAAAAAAAAGCAUGGUGUUUCCAGUAUUAAACUUGAAAUAAGUGAUAAAGUUUUCUUUUAACAAUUAGGCUAACCUCCAGGGUGCUGAUAUAUUUUUUUCUGGUCCCUAAAAUUGUGUGCCUUUUUAAAGUUCCGGCACCAGUCCUCCUCUCCCCUUAGAACACCAGCAUGGUAUUCCCCAGGACUCCCUGAGGUCCGUAACUGCAGAAAGCCUCCCCUCAGCUGGUAGCCAAUUUAUCCACAUGUGCUUGGCUGACCUGAGUCACUGUCACAGAGACAGACCACCUGUGAUUCUCUGCUAAUAUCCAGCCUGAACUGUGUAGAGAGACCCAACCUAAAAAAGAAAAAAGAAUAUGACAGUAUUUGGAGUCAGCACCUUCAAAGAGAUGACGCAGAUGAUGCAGUUGAGAUGAAGGUGUUAGGAUGU
RNAcentral lists this long non-coding RNA (2670 nucleotides) under Chinchilla lanigera (long-tailed chinchilla). Its description in RNAcentral is "lncRNA (ENSCLAG00000026400.1)". The record is from RNAcentral. Lineage: Eukaryota; Metazoa; Chordata; Mammalia; Rodentia; Chinchillidae.